RNAcentral lists this ribosomal RNA (1343 nucleotides) under uncultured bacterium. RNAcentral describes it as "16S ribosomal RNA". It matches the Rfam family "Bacterial small subunit ribosomal RNA", at positions 28 to 1378 of the family's 1533-position model. The record is from RNAcentral.
GACGAACGCUGGCGGCGUGCUUAACACAUGCAAGUCGAACGGAAAGGCCCUGCUUUUGUGGGGUGCUCGAGUGGCGAACGGGUGAGUAACACGUGAGUAACCUGCCCUUGACUUUGGGAUAACUUCAGGAAACUGGGGCUAAUACCGGAUAGGAGCUCCUGCUGCAUGGUGGGGGUUGGAAAGUUUCGGCGGUUGGGGAUGGACUCGCGGCUUAUCAGCUUGUUGGUGGGGUAGUGGCUUACCAAGGCUUUGACGGGUAGCCGGCCUGAGAGGGUGACCGGCCACAUUGGGACUGAGAUACGGCCCAGACUCCUACGGGAGGCAGCAGUGGGGAAUAUUGCACAAUGGGCGGAAGCCUGAUGCAGCAACGCCGCGUGCGGGAUGACGGCCUUCGGGUUGUAAACCGCUUUCGCCUGUGACGAAGCGUGAGUGACGGUAAUGGGUAAAGAAGCACCGGCUAACUACGUGCCAGCAGCCGCGGUGAUACGUAGGGUGCGAGCGUUGUCCGGAUUUAUUGGGCGUAAAGGGCUCGUAGGUGGUUGAUCGCGUCGGAAGUGUAAUCUUGGGGCUUAACCCUGAGCGUGCUUUCGAUACGGGUUGACUUGAGGAAGGUAGGGGAGAAUGGAAUUCCUGGUGGAGCGGUGGAAUGCGCAGAUAUCAGGAGGAACACCAGUGGCGAAGGCGGUUCUCUGGGCCUUUCCUGACGCUGAGGAGCGAAAGCGUGGGGAGCGAACAGGCUUAGAUACCCUGGUAGUCCACGCUGUAAACGGUGGGUACUAGGUGUGGGGUCCAUUCCACGGGUUCCGUGCCGUAGCUAACGCUUUAAGUACCCCGCCUGGGGAGUACGGCCGCAAGGCUAAAACUCAAAGGAAUUGACGGGGCCCCGCACAAGCGGCGGAGCAUGCGGAUUAAUUCGAUGCAACGCGUAGAACCUUACCUGGGUUUGACAUGGAUCGGGAGUGCUCAGAGAUGGGUGUGCCUCUUUUGGGGUCGGUUCACAGGUGGUGCAUGGCUGUCGUCAGCUCGUGUCGUGAGAUGUUGGGUUAAGUCCCGCAACGAGCGCAACCCUUGUUCACUGUUGCCAGCACGUUAUGGUGGGGACUCAGUGGAGACCGCCGGGGUCAACUCGGAGGAAGGUGGGGAUGACGUCAAGUCAUCAUGCCCCUUAUGUCCAGGGCUUCACGCAUGCUACAAUGGCUGGUACAGAGAGUGGCGAGCCUGUGAGGGUGAGCGAAUCUCGGAAAGCCGGUCUCAGUUCGGAUUGGGGUCUGCAACUCGACCCCAUGAAGUCGGAGUCGCUAGUAAUCGCAGAUCAGCAACGCUGCGGUGAAUACGUUCCCGGG